This 301-nucleotide ribosomal RNA is filed under the name uncultured bacterium. RNAcentral describes it as "partial 16S ribosomal RNA". It matches the Rfam family "Bacterial small subunit ribosomal RNA", at positions 509 to 808 of the family's 1533-position model. The record is from RNAcentral.
CAGUAGCCGCGGGAAUACGUAGGGUGCGAGCGUUAAUCGGAAUUACUGGGCGUAAAGCGCGCGCAGGCGGUUUUUUAAGUCUGGUGUCUAAGUGCGGGGCUCAACCCCGUGACGCACUGGAAACUGGGAGACUUGAGUGCAGAAGAGGAGAGCGGAAUUUCCGGUGGAGCGGUGAAAUGCGUUGAGAUCGGAAAGAAUACCAACGGCGAAAGCACUCUGCUGGGCCGACACUGACACUGAGAGACGAAAGCUAGGGGAGCAAAUGGGAUUAGAUACCCCUGUAGUCCCUGUCUCUUAUACA